AAGUUGCUUCAGUUGUGUCCAACUCUGUGAUCCCAUGGACUGUAGCCUGCCAGGCUCCUCUGUCUGUGGAAUUCUCCAGGCAAGAAUAUUGGAGUAGGUUGCCAUGCCCUCCUCCAGUGGAUCUUCCCAAGCCAGGAAUCGAACCUGCAUCUCUCAUGUCUCCUGCAUUGGCGGGCAGGUUCUUUACCAAUAAAGCCACCUGGAAAGCCCUGUCACUCUCAUUUGCAAGGCUUAAUUUUCAGAUCAUCAGUUGCUAGUGAGAGUGAACUUUUUAAAACCUACCAGUGAUUUACAUAUCAUUAUUCCUGAAUUGUCCAUUGAUACCUAUAAUACACAGUGGCUGUAUCCUGGGAGUCUGGCUUCCACUCUGCCUUGUUCUGGGGAUCUUCCCAACCUAGGGAAUGAAUCUGCAUCUCCUUUGUCUCCGGCACUGCACGCAGACUCUUUACCUGCUGAACCACCGAAGAAGCCCUUGGCACUCCUUCAGCCAGAGAACUCUGGAGAUGUGGAGGGGUGUUAACUGUGCAGCGAACAGGACC
Molecule: long non-coding RNA, 539 nt
Organism: Bos taurus (domestic cattle)
Lineage: Eukaryota; Metazoa; Chordata; Mammalia; Artiodactyla; Bovidae
Source: Ensembl